Molecule: long non-coding RNA, 1501 nt
Filed under: Cricetulus griseus (Chinese hamster)
Lineage: Eukaryota; Metazoa; Chordata; Mammalia; Rodentia; Cricetidae
Description: lncRNA (ENSCGRG00015032403.1)
Source: RNAcentral
GGGUGCUAGAGCUGGCAGCUCCAGUACCUUAACUAAUUGUUCUCAUCUUUCUGAUGGACAUGGGUGAGAAAACACAAGAGAUAGGUACCUGAACCAACAUAGGGUUGCUGAAGAUGUCAGCCCAGACCUUAUUCCCCCAUCCUAACAUCACUCAGAUUUUCCCCUGACCAUGUCACUCAUAAUGAUGUCCUGGUUCCACAUAGCCUGCAUGCCCUGGCAUGCACAUUGAAGCCUCAGCCACUGUCCCUGCCUCUUGCCUGGCUCCCUCCGUCUGCAUCUUGGUGCUGCCCUUUCGCCUGCAGCUCAUGUUGGAUACCUGGAUGCUGAGGUGCACAGAUUGUUUUCCCUCAGCCUUCAGUGCCUGCCAACCUCCAGCCAUUAGCUAAAGGUAUCUGCAUAGUUCCCAGCAUCAUCUUCCUCCCCUGGAAUGAUGGGGACUGGCACUAUGCACAGUCCCUUCUGUGACCACACCCAUCAGCUGUAUGACUACAGAGUGGGGGUCCCAGGAAGAAGGCUGAGGAAGGAACAAAGCUGGAGGGCCAAAGGGACCCCUGGGCACAGAGACAGCUGUCUGCAAAUUACUUGUGCCUUACCACCUCCUCUGCCAGGGUCACCUGUGGGCCACUUCGCAGCCAUAAACUCAGACCAAGCUGUGUUCUUCUAAGGCAAAGGGCUCGCUGAAUGGGAGACCUCAUGACAAGCAGAGAGGGGUCUUUGGAGGGAUCUUUCUCCUUUGUCCCACCUGCUGAGAAAAAGCAGGGUCCCACUGCAAAUGCCCAAUUCCUCUUCCUAAGAGAAUCCAGGACCAGGAGCCAACUUGAGAAGGACAAUGGCCAGAGAACAGCCACUGACUCCAGCAUUCAGCCUGUGCCAGGUGGCACCACCCAUGUCUGGAAUCAGAAACAGUUCUGUUCUUGGCUUCCCCAAGUGUUGUCCUGGUCACCAACCUCCUGGUCACCUCUGGCAUGCAUUGCCACCUGCUGGCUACCAGCCCAUGGCCAUGUGCUCUAAUAUUGACUUUCUGAACCCCAAGCUCUGUUACUAGCAACAUCAGAGGGCCACCACCAACACUGCAAGUACCAUGCAGGCCUCCUCAUUUAUCAUCUCCCGGCUGCCAGCCUCUGUCAGCCACCAAGCUUGCAGGUGUUCAGGUUCCUAGGCUGACUCAGGCCAUCCAGGUCCUUAGUUCUGAAUCUGCAAGGCCAGGAGUCCGUCCAUCUUCAGGACCCUGAGCUCAGCCUGCACCAGCUUACUUCUGAAGGAGGAUGACAUCGCCCCAGGGACAAACCAGGAAAAUGUGAGCUGGACGAGGUGCCCAGACUAUGCUUCCAGGAGAGAACCAGGGACAAGCUGCCCAGCUUUGGCACCCAGGGGCAGAACCCUGGAGCCCUUCUCUGCCAGAUGCGAUUCUUGAAGAUGCCACAGAUUCUUGUUGCCUUAUUGAUAGAUUUGGUACUGGAGCUUCCCCGAGGAACUCAAGAAGCUGAUGGGCCAGCUGCUG